GCAGCGGGGAAGCAGAAGGCCACCACCGCCGCCGCCGGCCGACCUGGUGCGAGAAACCGGCAAGACCUCGGUGAUAUCGGCAACGUCCUGAACGCCCAUGUGGUCGACGGGAGCUUCGGCGCCCAGCUUCUAAAGAAAGCUCAGGAGAACGCCAUUGGGGCGAACAAGGUACAGAUUGUCGUGCAGAACCCGGUCAGGAAGGAACCAGCUCCGAAGCCGGCCAAGAAGGUCGUACCCCGUCUGGAGAAUGCCGCCAAGGCCAGCACCGGCGCCGGCGUCAACGAGAACAAGAAGCCUUCGGAGUCGGAGGGCGCCGGGCGCCGGCAGCAGCGGCGGCGGUUCAGCCCACAAGUACUCCAAGAAGAAGGUCGUGAACACGCUUACAUCUGUGCUUACUGCUCGUUCCAAGCACGCGUGUGGCAUUUCUAA
This 429-nucleotide long non-coding RNA is filed under the name Oryza sativa Indica Group (long-grained rice). RNAcentral describes it as "lncRNA OsIR64_07g0015040". Lineage: Eukaryota; Viridiplantae; Streptophyta; Magnoliopsida; Poales; Poaceae. The record is from RNAcentral.